Scleropages formosus (Asian bonytongue) is the source of this 114-nucleotide regulatory RNA element. It matches the Rfam family "Potassium channel RNA editing signal". From Rfam's summary of the family: This family represents a group of sequences related to the human potassium channel Kv1.1 hairpin element which directs the efficient modification of an adenosine to inosine by an adenosine deaminase acting on RNA (ADAR). The ADAR modification causes an isoleucine/valine recoding event which lies in the ion-conducting pore of the potassium channel. The record is from Rfam. NCBI's taxonomy places the organism in Eukaryota, Metazoa, Chordata, Actinopteri, Osteoglossiformes, Osteoglossidae.
GUUGGCUAUGGUGACAUGGUCCCCACCACCAUUGGAGGCAAAAUUGUGGGCUCACUUUGUGCCAUUGCUGGUGUACUUACCAUUGCUCUGCCAGUGCCUGUCAUCGUCUCCAAC